AUGAACGCUGGCGGCGUGCCUAAUACAUUCAAGUCGAGCGAACAGACGAGGAGCUUGCUCCUCUGACGUUAGCGGCGGACGGGUGAGUAACACGUGGAUAACCUACCUAUAAGACUGGGAUAACUUCGGGAAACCGGAGCUAAUACCGGAUAAUAUAUUGAACCGCAUGGUUCAAUAGUGAAAGACGGUUUUGCUGUCACUUAUAGAUGGAUCCGCGCCGCAUUAGCUAGUUGGUAAGGUAACGGCUUACCAAGGCGACGAUGCGUAGCCGACCUGAGAGGGUGAUCGGCCACACUGGAACUGAGACACGGUCCAGACUCCUACGGGAGGCAGCAGUAGGGAAUCUUCCGCAAUGGGCGAAAGCCUGACGGAGCAACGCCGCGUGAGUGAUGAAGGUCUUCGGAUCGUAAAACUCUGUUAUUAGGGAAGAACAAAUGUGUAAGUAACUAUGCACGUCUUGACGGUACCUAAUCAGAAAGCCACGGCUAACUACGUG
RNAcentral lists this ribosomal RNA (496 nucleotides) under uncultured bacterium. RNAcentral's name for it is "partial 16S ribosomal RNA". It matches the Rfam family "Bacterial small subunit ribosomal RNA", at positions 29 to 507 of the family's 1533-position model. The record is from RNAcentral.